UACGUAGGGUGCGAGCGUUGUCCGGAAUUACUGGGCGUAAAGCGUGCGUAGGCGGUCGUGUAAGUCGGGUGUGAAAGCCCCGGGCUCAACCUGGGAAUUGCAUUCGAGACUGCACGGCUGGAGUGCGGAAGAGGGAAGCGGAAUUUCCGGUGUAGCGGUGAAAUGCGUAGAUAUCGGAAGGAACAUCAGUGGCGAAAGCGGCUUCCUGGUCCAGCACUGACGCUCAGGCACGAAAGCGUGGGGAGCAAACAGG
Molecule: ribosomal RNA, 253 nt
Filed under: uncultured bacterium
Lineage: Bacteria
Description: partial 16S ribosomal RNA
Rfam family: Bacterial small subunit ribosomal RNA
Source: RNAcentral